Molecule: ribosomal RNA, 468 nt
Filed under: uncultured bacterium
Lineage: Bacteria
Description: partial 16S ribosomal RNA
Rfam family: Bacterial small subunit ribosomal RNA
Source: RNAcentral
GACGAACGCUGGCGGCGUGCUUAACACAUGCAAGUCGAACGGAAAGGCCCUGCUUUUGUGGGGUGCUCGAGUGGCGAACGGGUGAGUAACACGUGAGUAACCUGCCCUUGACUUUGGGAUAACUUCAGGAAACUGGGGCUAAUACCGGAUAGGAGCUCCUGCUGCAUGGUGGGGGUUGGAAAGUUUCGGCGGUUGGGGAUGGACUCGCGGCUUAUCAGCUUGUUGGUGGGGUAGUGGCUUACCAAGGCUUUGACGGGUAGCCGGCCUGAGAGGGUGACCGGCCACAUUGGGACUGAGAUACGGCCCAGACUCCUACGGGAGGCAGCAGUGGAGAAUAUUGCACAAUGGGCGGAAGCCUGAUGCAGCAACGCCGCGUGCGGGAUGACGGCCUUCGGGUUGUAAACCGCUUUCGCCGGUGACGAAGCGUGAGUGACGGUAAAGGGUAAAGAAGCACCGGCUAACUACGUG